GACGAACGCUGGCGGCGUGCUUAACACAUGCAAGUCGAACGGAAAGGCCCUGCUUGCAGGGUGCUCGAGUGGCGAACGGGUGAGUAACACGUGGGUGAUCUGCCCCUUACUUUGGGAUAAGCCUGGGAAACUGGGUCUAAUACUGGAUAGGACCAUGCUGUUGGUGGUGUGGUGGAAAGAUUAGUUUCGGUAAGGGAUGAGCUCGCGGCCUAUCAGCUUGUUGGUGGGGUAAUGGCCUACCAAGGCGUCGACGGGUAGCCGGCCUGAGAGGGUGGACGGCCACAUUGGGACUGAGAUACGGCCCAGACUCCUACGGGAGGCAGCAGUGGGGAAUAUUGCACAAUGGGCGCAAGCCUGAUGCAGCGACGCCGCGUGGGGGAUGACGGCCUUCGGGUUGUAAACUCCUUUCAGCCAUGACGAAGCCCUUGUGGUGACGGUAGUGGUAGAAGAAGCACCGGCUAACUACGUG
Molecule: ribosomal RNA, 469 nt
Filed under: uncultured bacterium
Lineage: Bacteria
Description: partial 16S ribosomal RNA
Rfam family: Bacterial small subunit ribosomal RNA
Source: RNAcentral